Molecule: transfer RNA, 84 nt
Filed under: Ipomoea nil (Japanese morning glory)
Lineage: Eukaryota; Viridiplantae; Streptophyta; Magnoliopsida; Solanales; Convolvulaceae
Rfam family: tRNA
About the family: Transfer RNA (tRNA) molecules are approximately 80 nucleotides in length. Their secondary structure includes four short double-helical elements and three loops (D, anti-codon, and T loops). Further hydrogen bonds mediate the characteristic L-shaped molecular structure. tRNAs have two regions of fundamental functional importance: the anti-codon, which is responsible for specific mRNA codon recognition, and the 3' end, to which the tRNAs corresponding amino acid is attached (by aminoacyl-tRNA synthetases). tRNAs cope with the degeneracy of the genetic code in two manners: having more than one tRNA (with a specific anti-codon) for a particular amino acid; and 'wobble' base-pairing, i.e. permitting non-standard base-pairing at the 3rd anti-codon position.
Source: Rfam by way of RNAcentral
GUCAAGAUGGCUGAGUGGUCUAAGGCACCAGACUCAAGUUCUGGUCUUCAUGAGUGGGCGUGGGUUCCAAUCCCACUUUUGACA